CAGUAGCCGCGGGAAAACGAAGGGGGCUAGCGUUGUUCGGAAUUACUGGGCGUAAAGCGCACGUAGGCGGACAUUUAAGUCAGGGGUGAAAUCCCGGGGCUCAACCCCGGAACUGCCUUUGAUACUGGGUGUCUAGAGUAUGGAAGAGGUGAGUGGAAUUCCGAGUGUAGAGGUGAAAUUCGUAGAUAUUCGGAGGAACACCAGUGGCGAAGGCGGCUCACUGGUCCAUUACUGACGCUGAGGUGCGAAAGCGUGGGGAGCAAACAGGAUUAGAUACCCGAGUAGUCCCUGUCUCUUAUAC
RNAcentral lists this ribosomal RNA (301 nucleotides) under uncultured bacterium. RNAcentral describes it as "partial 16S ribosomal RNA". It matches the Rfam family "Bacterial small subunit ribosomal RNA", at positions 509 to 807 of the family's 1533-position model. The record is from RNAcentral.